UUCCGACCCCUCAGUGCUCGUCUGGACCAUGGACAGUAUAUAAGGUCUGGACGGUGGAUUGACAGCACGCACCGAUUGAGCUCCGCUGAACAUUACGCUAAACGGUAAAAUGCGCAAACAAAUAUUUUUUCCAAGGGACCUCUGGGGUAUCUUUGUCGGGAUCCUACUAAUUCUGCAAAAGUCAUUAAAGACGACCCAUCUCUCCAGGACAAGUCUGCACCUGUAAGGGAGGAGCUGGUCAGGCAAAAUGCACUCAGUGUCAUCCAUCAGAGAGGUGGGGAUGCCUCAGAUAAAUCUGAGGUGGCUGGAGAAUACAUCCUGCAGUUUGGGAAAUACAAGGGGAAGUCCUUCCGCUGGCUUCUUGAAAAUGAUGUAGGGUAUAGGGUAUAUACCAUCUACCUAAUCAGGAACAAGGUGAAGGAGGAGGCUGCAGGAGUGUUUAUAGCAGAGGGCCACAGCAAGGACAGCCUACUGUCAUUUGUGAACUAUGCCCUUAGCUUUCAAGAAAUCCAGUCUCUUCUUGACUAUGAGGCAAGGUCACAGGUUGUGACAGUAGCAGCAUCAGAGGAUGACCAGCUGGUUGGGUUUGGCUCUCGUGCCAACAACACUUGGCUCGAGAUUUGAGACAAUAGGGAUGAUGGCUAUGCAGCCUUUAUACUGAAAAAAAGCUGUGCUUCAGGGACAAGGAUGCACAAGUUACAGCAAUACCUGCAGAAGAAGCUGCCCUCACCAGCCUCUGGCUCUUCUCUGAUGACACCUACGUCAAAUGCUCCUGCUGAAGCCAUGGUGAUGGAUGAAGAUGAAGAGCUGGAGUAAUGCUGAGCAUUUCUCCUACCAUGCAACGUGAGAAAAGCUCUGUUUCUGCACCAGCAUCAUCAACUGCCAGACCACCACAGGCUUCUGGAACAGAUAGAGCACCAUCAGCUACACGGUCUAGAACAACUAAAUUGAAGAUCUCACAAGAAGAUGCCCUGCCAACUGUAAGGAGACCUGUGCCCCUUCCUCAGGAGCUGAGGUUUCUGAUGCCAAAAACAGCAGGUCCUCAGCCAACAGAGACAACUGUAACAGUUCCAGUGUCAGAGGCACUUGUGAUUACUCCCGAUACGUCUGCAGAGCCCAGUCAACCGGCGCUGCAGCCACCAAUUGGACAGAGAGCUCAAAGUCAGCCGGUAACCAGGCCAUCAAGGGUCCCCAGCAUUCCUCCUCCACAGCUUCCUGGCUAUGACCAUGAUGGAACUGUUCUCACCAGCAGAGGAUCUGGAUGAAGACAGAGCUGGAAUCGAUGGGUCUCUGGCCGGGCUCCAUUCCUGUGCGCAACCCCAUGAAGAUGGUGUCAUUGUUUCCCUCCCCAGCCAGAAUUAAUUGACAGCAUCUCUGAUCUUCCAUCCCCAAAGUACUUUCAGCUCCAUCCCUUUUUUUAUAUGGAAGCCAGAGAAUGACUUAAUGGCAAGGCUGUGGAACAGCGACACUCUGCCAUGCAUUGAAGGUUGCGCUCAGGCCCAAGUUGCCUCUGCAGGUGUUGGUAGACCUUGUGUGAUUGUUGGCAUCACUGGACAGUACUACCUUUUUUCAUCCAGACUGUGCUGUAAAGUUUGCCGGAAAAGGUGGUAUGCUGACAAUCCACUGUGGCUGGAAAAACUACCAAAGAGGUUCACAAACCUGUUGCCGGCAAUACUGACCUACAAGAAGGCCAUCUGUAAAUCCGUAAUGGACGAGCUCAGGCGCAAAUAUGAACGUGCUCACCUGGCCUUCCUCCUUACCUCAUCAUGGAUGGUGAGGCAGGAAAGUAUGACCUAAGAACCAUCACUCAGUUCAUAAGACAGGAAACCAAGCCAGCUCUCUUUGGAGAGUAUGGGGAUUCAGAUGGCUGGAACGGGAUCUCUGUGUCUGCACACUACCUAACUGACUGCCUACUGCAAUAGUACAAACACCAGGAGGGUGCUAUCACAAAGCUUCUUCAGGGCACCUUUGGACAGGCUUUCCGCUCAGACCACACAUGGAAAGUUGCUAGGAAGGUCACCUUUUCAUCUGGGACCAUGUCAUCAUAUGCAGUCAUGAAUGAGAACUGGAUGAUCCUUUCAUGGGUGAUGGUGCAGUCUGAGACAGAAAAGUCACUGAAGCCCAUGUAUGAAGGUAUAGCACACCGCUACAACACUGCAGGCAUAGAGAAGGCCCACUACCAGUGGGUAGACAGGGAUUGCUGCGCAGCAUUUAAGGUUGUUUAGUGUGUAUAUACUGUAUAUUUUGCCCAUUUCAUAUUUAUUUUACAUAUUUUAUUUUGUGUAUGUGUGACCUUGCACUAUGGGCCUUGGUGUGUUUAAACUUUCAUUGUUGUAUUUAAUAAACAAGACAUUACAUUAACCAAUA
Perca flavescens (yellow perch) is the source of this 2367-nucleotide long non-coding RNA. RefSeq lists it as uncharacterized. The record is from RefSeq and is a predicted model, not a curated record. NCBI's taxonomy places the organism in Eukaryota, Metazoa, Chordata, Actinopteri, Perciformes, Percidae. The transcript has 9 exons.